Molecule: long non-coding RNA, 418 nt
Organism: Equus caballus (horse)
Lineage: Eukaryota; Metazoa; Chordata; Mammalia; Perissodactyla; Equidae
Source: RefSeq, a predicted model, not a curated record
AACGGAAGUUGUCUUUGCCUUGAGAAGACCUUUCCAUAAAAGUGCUUCCUGCUUACCCGGCCUUUCUCACAAAGUGGCCAAACAGCUAAUAACGGACUUGACACGGGUUUUCACCAAAUCCUCACACUCCUAAACCACUUCUCAUUAAGGAAGACCCGACGACAGCAGACACAAGGAUGGACCCUGCAACUCCUACCCCAAUUGAAAGUCUGCUUUUCGGCUUUUACUGGUCUCUGAAGUCCCUGGAGAUCUCCUUCAGUGCCAGCUCCGACCUUCAGCAUCCGGGACCAGCUCUGGCCAUCUCCCCACGAUCCUCCAAUCUUCUCUGCACUCCACCACUGAAAUCCCCACACACAUAGACAGUCACAGCACAGGGUAAACAAUGUACCCAAAAUAAACUCAUUCGAAAAACUUUAAA